This 283-nucleotide unclassified non-coding RNA is filed under the name Hevea brasiliensis (rubber tree). Lineage: Eukaryota; Viridiplantae; Streptophyta; Magnoliopsida; Malpighiales; Euphorbiaceae. The record is from RNAcentral.
CAACUAAGGCUCCAUUCUGGCCUGCUGGAAUUGAUGGUAAUCGUCCACCUGCCAAGAUACCUGUUCAACUGCCAUUGAAUCACUUGAUGAACAAUGAUGAGUCAAUGGGUCGGCCACUACAGUUAAGUGAGCAGGGACAAAUUCUUGAGGUGUGUAUUGAGGCAGCAGCAAAUGCAGUUAUCGAUCUUAGGGACAGUUUAAAUGAAUGGGAUAGCAAAGUAGGUGAUGGUGACUGUGGAUCAACGAUGUAUAGGGGUGCAACAGCAAUUCUAGAGGACAUGAA